This 252-nucleotide ribosomal RNA is filed under the name uncultured bacterium. RNAcentral's name for it is "partial 16S ribosomal RNA". It matches the Rfam family "Bacterial small subunit ribosomal RNA", at positions 57 to 305 of the family's 1533-position model. The record is from RNAcentral.
GCAAGUCGAACGGUAACAGGCAGAGCUUGCCCUGCGCUGACGAGUGGCGGACGGGUGCGUAACGCGUGGGAAUCUACCUUAUAGUGGGGGAUAGCCCGGAGAAAUCCGGAUUAAUACCGCAUAAGCCCUACGGGGGAAAAGGGGCCUCUCCUUGGAAGCUCUUGCUAUUAGAUGAGCCCGCGUAAGAUUAGCUUGUUGGUGAGGUAAUGGCUCACCAAGGCUACGAUCUUUAGCUGGUUUGAGAGGAUGAUC